Long non-coding RNA from Pseudopipra pipra, 206 nucleotides. RefSeq lists it as uncharacterized. The record is from RefSeq and is a predicted model, not a curated record. The transcript is spliced from 2 exons. NCBI's taxonomy places the organism in Eukaryota, Metazoa, Chordata, Aves, Passeriformes, Pipridae.
GUUGGAAACAGAUUGCAAGAGAAACACUCAUAGGCUUUGGUGCUGGGAAAUGACUCUGCUCGACCACACCAUUGCCCACUCUGGCAGCAGGACCCCCCAGCCAUCCAUGGGUUUUAACGGUGUUGCUCUGCCAAAACAUGUUCAAGUCCAUAACGACAGCAGUGUGAGCCCUCACUCGAGGCAUUAAAGACUUCUUGGGAAAAUGA